CCUACGGGUGGCAGCAGUGGGGGAUAUUGCACAAUGGAGGAAACUCUGAUGCAGCGACGCCGCGUGAGGGAAGACGGUCUUCGGAUUGUCAACCUCUGUCUUUGGGGUAGAAAAUGACGGUACCCAAAGAUUAAGCUCCGGCUAACUACUUGCCAGCAGCCGCGGUAAUACGUAGGGAGCGAGCGUUGUCGGGAAUUACUGGGUGAAAAGGUAGCGUAGGCGGGCGAGAAAGUUGAAUGUUAAAUCUACCUGCUAAACUGGUAGGUGCGUUCAAAACUUCUUGUCUUGAGUGAAGUAGAGGCAGGCGGAAGUCCUAGUGUAGCGGUGAAAUGCGUAGAUAUUAGGAGGAACACCAGUGGCGAAGGCGGCCUGUUGGGCUUUAACUGACGCUGAGGCUCGAAAGCGUGGGGAGCAAACAGGAUUAGAUACCCGUGUAGUC
Molecule: ribosomal RNA, 439 nt
Filed under: uncultured bacterium
Lineage: Bacteria
Description: partial 16S ribosomal RNA
Rfam family: Bacterial small subunit ribosomal RNA
Source: RNAcentral